AGAACAGCAAAGAUUGCUGCCUAUUCCUUCCUCUGGAAGCUUUGUCCUAGAGAGGUACUCACCAGAUGCCAGCCAGAACUCUCCUGUUUGAGGUGUCUAUCGGCCGCCACUGGGAAGUAUCUCCUGGUCAGGAUACACAGGGGUCAGGGACCCACUUGAGGAUGCAGUCUGUCCCUUACCAGGUGCUCCCUUCAAAGCUGUCCAGCAGGACGUUUAGGUCUGCUGAAACUAUUCCCUCAACCACCCCUUCCCCCAGGUGCUCUGUCCCAAGGAGAUGGGGGUUUUAUCUAUAAGUCCUUGACUGGGCCGCUGCCAUUUUUCCAGAGAUGCCUUCCUCAGAAAAGAGCCGCAUUCUGGCUGCAGUGGCCUUGCUUAGCUGUGGUAGGCUCCACCCAGUCUGAACUUCCCGGCUUUGUUUAUACCAUGAGGGUAAAACAGCCUACUCAAACCUCAGUAAUGGUGGAUGUCCCUCCCCCUGCCAAGCUCAAGUGUCCCAGAUGGAGGUCAGGCUGCUGUGCUGGCAGCGAAAAUUUCAAGCCAGUGGAUCUUAGCUCUCUGGACUCCAUGGGGGUGGGACCUGCUGAGCCAGACCACUUGGCUCCCUGGCUUCAGCCCCCUUUCCAAGGAAGUGAAUGGCUCUGACUUGCUUGGCAUUCCAGGCACCCCUGGGGUCUGGACAAAAAGCUGCUGCGGCUAGCUCGGUGUCUGCCCAAAAGUCGCCCAGUUUUGUGCUUGAAACCCAGGACUGUGGUGGUGUAGGAACUAGAGGGAGUCUCCUGGUUUUGCAGGCUGUGAAGACCAUUGGAAAAGUUCAGUAUCUGGGCCGGAGCGCAUAGUACAGUCCCUAAUGGCUUCCCUUGGCUAGGAAAGGUAGUUCCCCGACCCUUGUACUUCCCAGGUGAGGUGAUGCUCCACCCUUCUUCAGCUCACUGUCUGUCAGCUACACCCACUGUCCAACCAGUCCCGGUGAGAUGAACCAGGUACCUUAGUUAGAAAUGAGAAAUCACCUGCCUGAGUUGAUCUUGCUGGGAGCUGCAGACCAGAGCUGUUCCUAUUUGGCCAUUUUCAUUUUUAGUUUUUUGAGGAACCUCCAUACUGGCUGUAUCUCCAUAGUGGCUGUGCUAAUUUACAUUCCUACCAAUAGUGCAUGAGGAAUCUCCACAUCCUUGCCAGCAUGUGUUAUUGUUUGUCUGGGUCUCUUAAGGUGAUGUGCUUGGCAGCUCUUGAAACCAUCUUUCCUAUUAAUGACUCCUCUUGAUCCCCAACUCCUGUGUAGGACACUUAUAUAACAAAAUAUAUCAUUUACCUGGUCAUAACAGGCCCACAUUGUAACUGCUCAGGACCACAUUAUAUCUGCCAUUGAGGUUCUGUUAAUACACCUAGGGCUGAGAGUGUGAUUAUUACAGAACAAGGGAAUCUGCAGCUCAUAAAUGCCUUUUUGCUCUGUUUACUGGAGUCAUUAAAAGAAACAUAGCUGUUAUGAUGUGGGAACUUGUUAUGAGUGUUAAAUGAGAUUAUACUAUAAAACACCUACUUAUUUUGUCAAGAAGUAGAGAUGAAGUGUCCCAGAAACUACGUUAGAUGCUUGGGAUGCUAGUUAGAUAAAUGCCUGUUUUCACUGUUCUUCAGAAUAUUCAUUCAACCAACAAAAAUUUAUUGAUCACCUGCCACAGCAAGGUGAUAUCUAGGUGUUGGGAGAGAGUAUAGAAAUAAGUAAGACACAGCAUAGGGCCUCCACGAAGCUCACAGUCAGUCAGGGUUAAUAUAAUGUUUACAUGAACAAUUACAAAAAAAAGCCCAGGAAGGUUAAUGUAGCAAGUGUUGUUAAGAAGUCAUAUGUGAUUUCAGGGGAGGGAGAGAUUUUUUCCAGCUUGUUGACUGGGAAGACUUCAAGAAAGGGUUAGAAAUAAAGGUAAUAGAACAAAAAAUAUAUAAGUGUAUUUGGGAAGGUUGAGCUGCUCCAUUUGGCUGGAAUGGGGUUUAUGAGGUUAGCCUCUGUAUACUGUCUUGAAAAUAAUGUUCACUGACUCAUAAAUUUUCUAAACUACAUAAUGAUGAUAACAUGAUAAUACUAGUGGGAUUAUGUUAUCAUAAAAACCUCUUACAUUUAAAAUGUUCUUAUUAAGACCCCAUCUGUAUUUGCUAAUUAAGUAAAACUGUAUUAGGAUUAAAACUGCAGGGAAGAGGCAAAAUGCUUUGUUUCUUGCUUGGAUUUUAUAUUUUACAUUUAAGAAAGAUUGAAUACCAAAAACAUCUCUUUCUGGUAAUUCUAUAACAAAGUUUUUAGUCCAUGCAUUAGAAGUCUUUUGGUAUUGAAUUGUAAGAUUUCUUAAUUUGGUAUUUAUAAAAAAAUUUGUAGCUGACUUUUAGCAGAAAUAAUAUUUUUUAAAGAUGUACCCGAUGUCACUAAUCAAAUGGUCUUUGCCAAUCAGCACAUCUGCCACCAGAUUUCAAAGCUAUAUAUCCAUUUGGACACAGGGUUUUUAGCCCAAUCUUGCAAAAUAUUUGCUAUUAUAUUAUAAUUGAAAAUAAAACAGUCUAAAUUAGUGAAGAAAUACAGAAUAUGAACAAUUACAACUUAUGAAAACUAUGCACAAUAUGUGUUCUGUCACAUCAAAACCCAUUUACUGGAUCAUAAAAUCCAUUUGAUAGGCCUUGUUAGUGUAUUUUUUAUAGGGAGGAUGGAAUGGAAUUGAGAAUAGAGUACAUUGCGUAUUGUGAGGAAAAGUAUUGUUUUAUGAAAUUUUAGUUUCAUCUGUGUGUGUUUAUAUGCCUGUGUUUCUAGGUGUGAAUACAUUGGCUUGCUGUGUAAACUGUAUUUCUUAUUGUGGAUUAUCAGUGGUUUGAAAACAUUAUUUUAGAGAAAUGCCAAUUUAUGUGUAGUAAGUGGAAUUAAACCUGCAGCUGUUGGCCUGGAAGGCUCAUCAUCCAAGUUCCAGUAUUAGUGACGAGAGAAAACUUAUAUGCACUUAGCAUAUUAUUUACGUACAUAAAUGUUUCUGAAGUCCUCAGUUCUCAGCAAAAACUUGUUCCUGUACAAGACAUUGCUGGGAAACCUAAACAAGGAGAAAAGGAAGAAUAGAAGGAUCUACUCACAUAUUCAAAGCCUUCUACCUGUUUUCCUGAAUAAUGUUCUUCCACCUGGUUAAGGGUGUUUAUUUAUAACCACUUUACACAGGGGUGAAAUGCGCAAGACCCCUCACUUAAUGAAGGUCUUAACUAGCAUCAGCUCAUUGCUUCUGUACAUUGGAGCCUCAUUCCUCACAAGCUAUUGGUUUGAGUGGGAUGUUCCUGACUUAGGGCCAAAGCAGGAAUGGGGCAUGGCAGCCAGGGAGAGAGUAAAUUCCAAAACCGUGGAAAGGAUUGAGAACUUGGCAACAGUGGAGAGUGAAGACCUCACAGCCCUCCCAAAUACUGAGGCUGAGAACAUGGGGCAGGGGGAUAGGUCUAGAGCCCAAGCUUGAAGCCAGGAGUGUUGGAUACACUUAACCACUGGAAAUUUGUCAGAAGCCAGGGUCCCAGCCAGAAAUAUGGCCUCCCCUCAGAAGUACUACUUUCCUGUCCUACCCUGAGGAGUCACUCUAUCCCUGUGUUCAACUUCUUUAUACUGGUAGAAUCUGACUUAUAAUAACAGGACCAGUCUGAUACAACAUCUGGACUGGCUCCAGUACCUGGAUCAUACCUCACUGUGCCAAAAUCCACGUAUUAAACACUUGUCAUUUAUAUUUAUUUUGUAAUUUAUUAAACGUUUGUCACAUGCAUACUGUGCUACCUAUUUUCAUAUUCUUUCUGAUAAGAACAGUUGACAUUUUAUCUCAGGAAGUAGGGAGAGCUGGAAAAUUCACCAAAGAAAAGUUAAAUAAUUUUUCCUAUUAGCCAUUGCUUUCAAAGAUGCCCCAACUUUAGAAUUACAGAUUUUACCACUUAGCCUACUAAGCUAGGCUGUUGUUUGAAACUGACCUACUUCUGUCAUCCUCCACAGUUGUCUUAAUGGGAGGCAAUUUGUGCCCCACAUUUACUGUAGUGCUUGCAGAAGGCAUCAAGCUCUACAAAGCUUUAUGCUUGUCCUUAAAAGUUAAUUGGGAGCAUCAGGGGAGGAGUGAGUGCUGGAAACAGCUAUUUCCGUUUCCCAGAACGGUAGUGAAUCCUCUUAUCUUUCCAGGGUAAUUUAAGGAGAGCCUCAGUCAUAUAUAAUACUUGCAUUGCCUAGAUUUUAGGUUUUCAGUACUUUGAAAUGACAGCUUUUCAAAAAAGAUACUACCUAAAGUGAAAUGAGAUAUAGAUUUAAAGAAAAGGUGAAUAUUGAAGUAAUCCAUUUAAGAUAAUAGCUGGAAAUAUUUAUUCUGUUAGUAUGUCUUUCACUGGAUUUUAUUUUAUCUGAAAAUGUUAGAUUAGAGGAGACUCUGGAUUUGAAAAUUGGAGCCCAGGGUGGUAAAAGGACUUCCCAAGAAGCGGCCUUCUCCUGACUGCUCUUCUCUAUACCACAGUGUCCUGCUAAAUCUAAACAUGAGGAAUGUUCACAUGGAUGAUGUCACCAAUUGACACCAUCCAACAUGGCUUAAUAGAAAAACUGUGGACUUUGUAGCCAGGGAAAUUCAAACUUAAGUCUUUAUCCUACAAGAUUUCAUGAACUAAUUGAGGUAGCAUGUGAAGCACCUAGUACAGAGCAGAUGUUCAAGAAAUUAGGUCCCACAUGGGAAUUACAACUUGAAGACACAUUCUAAAAGUCAGGAAAGUUUGUCUCUAAUUCCUUCUUGCCUUCUCUUCCUGUUGUCUAGCGGGUACUAUGGGUGGGUGCAUGGAGCCUUCAGGUUGCUCGCAGAAUACCUAAGGUUUUCCCAAUACAGUGUGUGUCAAACUUCAUUCCAUGCGUCAUACCAUUCUAUACCUGUUUUUUAUCUAAAUUAAGGACCAUUCCUGCUGGCUUUGCUAAUAAUCUUAUUACCAUUUUCAUGAACGUCAGUUUAUAACUAAAGCUAGAUUAAUAUAUUGUCUUAGAAUAUCAAGUCUCCAGUUAAAGAGAUUUGAUCUCAUUUAGAGCAGUGUUGCCAUUCUUACUUUUUACUGAUCUCCUCUGCCUUUUUCAAUAUGAAAAGUCUUCUCCAUAACAGAGUAUUCAGGUUCAAAGUAAGAGUUAAAAGUUUCUGGUUUUCUAUGUGACAUUUAUCAACUCUGCACCAUCGAUCAUUUCCAGCAAUGAGCUUGUCUGCUGCUUGAUUGUCUUGCCUUUUGAUGUUUCUGUUACAUUUAAAAUAUAUAAUAAAUGUAUUAUUAAUUUCUUAGAAUAUAUUUAUUUUUAUUUAUUUUAAUAAGUAAGGUAAUACAUGUUCAUUACUAAAAGUUCCACAUAUAUAGAAUGCUAUGGAAGAGAGUGAAAACUCUCUUGUGUUUCUGCUCUACCUCCCCCAUUUUCAAAUUUGGGUAACUACCACCAGCGGUUUCAUAUGUAUCUUCCCAGAACUUUAUUUUG
This is a long non-coding RNA of Sapajus apella (tufted capuchin), 5470 nucleotides long. RefSeq lists it as uncharacterized. The transcript has 2 exons. NCBI's taxonomy places the organism in Eukaryota, Metazoa, Chordata, Mammalia, Primates, Cebidae. The record is from RefSeq and is a predicted model, not a curated record.